GGAUUAGGCAUGCAAGUCGAACGGGACAACAUUUGUAGCAAUACAGAUGUUGUUUAGUGGCGAACGGGUGCGUAACACGUGGGGAAUCUGCCGAGAAGUGGGGGAUAGCUCGCCGAAAGGCGAAUUAAUACCGCAUAUGAUCAGGGAAGACAUCUUUCCGACAUCAAAGCCGGGGCAACCUGGCGCUUCUUGAUGACCCCGCGGCCUAUUAGCUAGUUGGUGAGGUAACGGCCCACCAAGGCGAUGACGGGUAGCUGGUCUGAGAGGACGACCAGUCACACUGGAACUGAGACACGGUCCAGACACCUACGGGUGGCAGCAGUCGAGAAUUUUUCUCAAUGGGGGCAACCCUGAAGGAGCGACGCCGCGUGGAGGAUGAAGGCUUUCGGGUUGUAAACUCCUGUCAUUUGAGAACAAUGCCCCGGAUUUAACUGGUUCGGGGUUGAUAGUAUCAGAAGAGGAAGGGACGGCUAACUCUGUGCCAGCAGCCGCGGUAAUACAGAGGUCCCGAGCGUUGUUCGGAUUCAUUGGGCGUAAAGGGUGCGUAGGUGGCGCCGUAAGUGGGGUGUGAAAUCCCGGGGCUUAACCCCGGGACUGCAUUCCAUACUGCGGUGCUUGAGGACUGGAGAGGAGACUGGAAUUUACGGUGUAGCAGUGAAAUGCGUAGAGAUCGUAAGGAAGACCAGUGGCGAAGGCGGGUCUCUGGACAGUUCCUGACACUGAGGCACGAAGGCCAGGGGAGCAAACGGGAUUAGAUACCCCGGUAGUCCUGGCAGUAAACGGUGCACGUUUGGUGUGGGAGGAUUCGACCCCUUCUGCGCCGGAGCUAACGCGUUAAACGUGCCGCCUGGGGAGUAUGGUCGCAAGGC
RNAcentral lists this ribosomal RNA (869 nucleotides) under uncultured planctomycete clone2. RNAcentral describes it as "bacterial SSU rRNA". It matches the Rfam family "Bacterial small subunit ribosomal RNA", at positions 46 to 894 of the family's 1533-position model. The record is from RNAcentral. Lineage: Bacteria; Pseudomonadati; Planctomycetota; Planctomycetia; Planctomycetales.